This is a non-coding RNA of Vicia faba (fava bean), 282 nucleotides long. NCBI's taxonomy places the organism in Eukaryota, Viridiplantae, Streptophyta, Magnoliopsida, Fabales, Fabaceae. The record is from the annotation of a GenBank genome assembly.
AUGAACUAUAAUCCAACACUCAAUCAUUUGGGGAAGAAAUCUGAGAUUACUUUCAUAUGCAAUUUCCUGCAUAAUUUGAGAUUGUCCAAGAUAUUUGAUUAUGGAUCUUUGUGCCUGAUCAUCUGUUGGUUACAGAAAGCAAUUGGUUCCCGCCCAUAUUUCAUAUCUCCCAAAACCAAAGUAUUUCCGCAGAGCAAACUAGAAUUGCUGGAUUUAAUGGACCUGUUCUUCAGAUCUGACAAAGAUAAUUUAAUGUUUUAUUUCUGCAGUCAAAGAUUCCAG